AACGAACGCUGGCGGCAUGCCUAACACAUGCAAGUCGAACGAGCCCUUCGGGUCUAGUGGCGCACGGGUGCGUAACGCGUGGGAACCUGCCCUUAGGUUCGGAAUAACUCCCCGAAAGGGGUGCUAAUACCGGAUAAUGUCUUCGGACCAAAGAUUUAUCGCCUUUGGAUGGGCCCGCGUUGGAUUAGCUAGUUGGUAGGGUAAAAGCCUACCAAGGCGACGAUCCAUAGAUGGUCUGAGAGGAUGAUCAGCCACACUGGGACUGAGACACGGCCCAGACUCCUACGGGAGGCAGCAGUGGGGAAUAUUGGACAAUGGGCGAAAGCAUGAUCCAGCAAUGCCGCGUGAGUGAUGAAGGCAUUAGGGUUGUAAAGCUCUUUUACCCGGGAUGAUAAUGACAGUACCGGGAGAAUAAGCUCCGGCUAACUCCGUG
RNAcentral lists this ribosomal RNA (433 nucleotides) under uncultured bacterium. RNAcentral describes it as "partial 16S ribosomal RNA". It matches the Rfam family "Bacterial small subunit ribosomal RNA", at positions 29 to 507 of the family's 1533-position model. The record is from RNAcentral.